AUUGAACGCUGGCGGCAUGCCUUACACAUGCAAGUCGAACGGCAGCACGGGAGCAAUCCUGGUGGCGAGUGGCGAACGGGUGAGUAAAGUAUCGGAACGUGCCCAGUCGUGGGGGAUAACGUAGCGAAAGUUACGCUAAUACCGCAUACGAUCUAUGGAUGAAAGCGGGGGAUCGCAAGACCUCGCGCGAUUGGAGCGGCCGAUAUCAGAUUAGGUAGUUGGUGGGGUAAAGGCUCACCAAGCCGACGAUCUGUAGCUGGUCUGAGAGGACGACCAGCCACACUGGGACUGAGAACCGGCCCAGACUCCGACGGGAGGCAGCAGUGGGGAAUUUUGGACAAUGGGCGCAAGCCUGAUCCAGCCAUGCCGCGUGCAGGAUGAAGGCCUUCGGGUUGUAAACUGCUUUUGUACGGAACGAAAAGGUUUGGCUUAAUACGUUGAACUCAUGACGGUACCGUAAGAAUAAGCACCGGCUAACUACGUGCCAGCAGCCGCCGUAA
Molecule: ribosomal RNA, 500 nt
Filed under: uncultured bacterium
Lineage: Bacteria
Description: partial 16S ribosomal RNA
Rfam family: Bacterial small subunit ribosomal RNA
Source: RNAcentral